CACGUGGGUAACCUGCCCAUCAGAAGGGGAUAACACUUGGAAACAGGUGCUAAUACCGUAUAACAAUCAAAACCGCAUGGUUUUGAUUUGAAAGGCGCUUUCGGGUGUCGCUGAUGGAUGGACCCGCGGUGCAUUAGCUAGUUGGUGAGGUAACGGCUCACCAAGGCCACGAUGCAUAGCCGACCUGAGAGGGUGAUCGGCCACAUUGGGACUGAGACACGGCCCAAACUCCUACGGGAGGCAGCAGUAGGGAAUCUUCGGCAAUGGACGAAAGUCUGACCGAGCAACGCCGCGUGAGUGAAGAAGGUUUUCGGAUCGUAAAACUCUGUUGUUAGAGAAGAACAAGGAUGAGAGUAACUGUUCAUCCCUUGACGGUAUCUAACCAGAAAGCCACGGCUAACUACGUGCCAGCAGCCGCGGUAAUACGUAGGUGGCAAGCGUUGUCCGGAUUUAUUGGGCGUAAAGCGAGCGCAGGCGGUUUCUUAAGUCUGAUGUGAAAGCCCCCGGCUCAACCGGGGAGGGUCAUUGGAAACUGGGAGACUUGAGUGCAGAAGAGGAGAGUGGAAUUCCAUGUGUAGCGGUGAAAUGCGUAGAUAUAUGGAGGAACACCAGUGGCGAAGGCGGCUCUCUGGUCUGUAACUGACGCUGAGGCUCGAAAGCGUGGGGAGCAAACAGGAUUAGAUACCCUGGUAGUCCACGCCGUAAACGAUGAGUGCUAAGUGUUGGAGGGUUUCCGCCCUUCAGUGCUGCAGCUAACGCAUUAAGCACUCCGCCUGGGGAGUACGACCGCAAGGUUGAAACUCAAAGGAAUUGACGGGGGCCCGCACAAGCGGUGGAGCAUGUGGUUUAAUUCGAAGCAACGCGAAGAACCUUACCAGGUCUUGACAUCCUUUGACCACUCUAGAGAUAGAGCUUCCCCUUCGGGGGCAAAGUGACAGGUGGUGCAUGGUUGUCGUCAGCUCGUGUCGUGAGAUGUUGGGUUAAGUCCCGCAACGAGCGCAACCCUUAUUGUUAGUUGCCAUCAUUCAGUUGGGCACUCUAGCAAGACUGCCGGUGACAAACCGGAGGAAGGUGGGGAUGACGUCAAAUCAUCAUGCCCCUUAUGACCUGGGCUACACACGUGCUACAAUGGGAAGUACAACGAGUUGCGAAGUCGCGAGGCUAAGCUAAUCUCUUAAAGCUUCUCUCAGUUCGGAUUGCAGGCUGCAACUCGCCUGCA
Molecule: ribosomal RNA, 1219 nt
Filed under: Enterococcus faecium
Lineage: Bacteria; Bacillati; Bacillota; Bacilli; Lactobacillales; Enterococcaceae
Description: bacterial SSU rRNA
Rfam family: Bacterial small subunit ribosomal RNA
Source: RNAcentral